AUCCAGCUCACGAGUCCCAAAUAGGACGAAACGCGCGUCAAACUGGAU
Schistosoma mansoni is the source of this 48-nucleotide non-coding RNA. NCBI's taxonomy places the organism in Eukaryota, Metazoa, Platyhelminthes, Trematoda, Strigeidida, Schistosomatidae. The record is from Rfam.